RNAcentral lists this ribosomal RNA (248 nucleotides) under uncultured bacterium. RNAcentral's name for it is "partial 16S ribosomal RNA". It matches the Rfam family "Bacterial small subunit ribosomal RNA", at positions 529 to 776 of the family's 1533-position model. The record is from RNAcentral.
AGGGGGCAAGCGUUGUCCGGAUUUAUUGGGCGUAAAGAGCGUGUAGGCGGCUAGGUAGGUCCGUUGUGAAAACUCGAGGCUCAACCUCGAGACGCCGGUGGAAACCAUCUAGCUAGAGUCCGGAAGAGGAGAGUGGAAUUCCUGGUGUAGCGGUGAAAUGCGCAGAUAUCAGGAGGAAUACCGAUGGCGAAGGCAGGUCUCUGGGCUGACACUGACGCUCAUGCACGAAAGCGUGGGGAGCAAACAGG